Molecule: ribosomal RNA, 319 nt
Filed under: uncultured eukaryote
Lineage: Eukaryota
Description: partial 18S ribosomal RNA
Rfam family: Eukaryotic small subunit ribosomal RNA
Source: RNAcentral
CCCUUAGAUGUCCUGGGCCGCACGCGUGCUACACUGACGCCUACAGCGAGUACUUCCCAGCCCCGAGAGGUGGCUGGUAAUCAGCAAUAGGCGUCGUGAUGGGGAUAGGUCUUUGGAAUUAUGGAUCUUGAACGAGGAAUGCCUAGUAAGCGCAGGUCAUUAGCCUGCGCUGAUUAAGUCCCUGCCCUUUGUACACACCGCCCGUCGCUCCUACCGAUUUCGAGUGGUCCGGUGAAUCUUUCGGACUGCGCGCGGCCUCGUGCCGUGUCGCGGAAAGUCAGGUAAACCUUAUCACUUAGAGGAAGGAGAAGUCGUAACA